GAUGAACGCUGGCGGCGUGCCUAAUACAUGCAAGUCGAGCGAACAGACGAGGAGCUUGCUCCUCUGACGUUAGCGGCGGACGGGUGAGUAACACGUGGAUAACCUACCUAUAAGACUGGGAUAACUUCGGGAAACCGGAGCUAAUACCGGAUAAUAUAUUGAACCGCAUGGUUCAAUAGUGAAAGACGGUUUUGCUGUCACUUAUAGAUGGAUCCGCGCCGCAUUAGCUAGUCGGUAAGGUAACGGCUUACCAAGGCAACGAUGCGUAGCCGACCUGAGAGGGUGAUCGGCCACACUGGAACUGAGACACGGUCCAGACUCCUACGGGAGGCAGCAGUAGGGAAUCUUCCGCAAUGGGCGAAAGCUUGACGGAGCAACGCCGCGUGAGUGAUGAAGGUCUGCGGAUCGUAAAACUCUGUUAUUAGGGAAGAACAAAUGUGUAAGUAACUAUGCACGUCUUGACGGUACCUAAUCAGAAAGCCACGGCUAACUACGG
RNAcentral lists this ribosomal RNA (496 nucleotides) under uncultured bacterium. RNAcentral's name for it is "partial 16S ribosomal RNA". It matches the Rfam family "Bacterial small subunit ribosomal RNA", at positions 28 to 506 of the family's 1533-position model. The record is from RNAcentral.